Molecule: ribosomal RNA, 253 nt
Filed under: uncultured bacterium
Lineage: Bacteria
Description: partial 16S ribosomal RNA
Rfam family: Bacterial small subunit ribosomal RNA
Source: RNAcentral
UACGUAGGGGGCAAGCGUUGUCCGGAUUCAUUGGGCGUAAAGAGCGUGUAGGCGGCCAUACAGGUCAGCUGUGAAAACUCGAGGCUCAACCUCGAGACGUCGGUUGAAACCGUAUGGCUAGAGUCCGGAAGAGGAGAGUGGAAUUCCCGGUGUAGCGGUGAAAUGCGCAGAUAUCAGGAAGAACACCUAUGGCGAAGGCAGCUCUCUGGGACGGUACUGACGCUGAGACGCGAAAGCGUGGGGAGCGAACAGG